Molecule: ribosomal RNA, 127 nt
Filed under: Pseudopedinella elastica
Lineage: Eukaryota; Dictyochophyceae; Pedinellales
Description: partial Bacterial large subunit ribosomal RNA
Source: RNAcentral
ACCCCAAGUGAGAAUGCUGGCAUGAGUAACGAAAAAGGGAUAGCCCCUCGCCUUAAGCUUAUGGUAUUUAAAUUAAGUAACGGCCUCUAAGUUUAUAAUUGUCCUAAAGGAUUAAACGAUGAGAAAA